This is a non-coding RNA of Stegodyphus mimosarum, 73 nucleotides long. The record is from Rfam. Lineage: Eukaryota; Metazoa; Arthropoda; Arachnida; Araneae; Eresidae.
GCCUUCGUGGUGUAGUGGUCAGCACGCUCGACGCGCAAACGAGAGGUCCGUGGUUCGAUUCCCGGCGAUGGCG